CUUACUACGUUAUACAUUCUAUUGACCAAUCGUACGUUCCCAGUACUAUCCCCAAAAACCAAGUUUCCAUUUCCACUAGUUGCCGCUGUUACUUUAGCAUCCUAUUGAGAAUAGAAGUAUAAUCGCAGGAAAAGUUCGUGAACAAGUCGCCGAGUUAAUUCACUCGUAGUUCGUCGUGCAAAGAGAGUAAAAAAUUCAUGUAUCAUUUUAAUUGAUCGCGUGCAAUGCGAUCCAGUAGAAUCAGUGAAAUGAUUAGUGACUGUGAAAGAAUGGUUGCUGCCCUACUGAAACAAACUCGGUUAAGUAAACGGAUAAUGAACAACCAGUUGUCAUCGUCUGUUCCUAGGAAAUCGGCAAGCGGUGAAGAGACCAAACGUGCGGCUGAGCCAGGAACAAUAUUCGCGGCUGAACUAUUUUAGUUUCGAGAUAACUUUCUGCUCGGAAAACACGAAAGAACGUGAAAACUGAUUGUCACCCAUAAGUACGAGGUGGUCGCGAAUCUUCAAAGAAAUAAGUGACGCUAAGGAAAUGCCUGCCAGAAGUAUUAACAAUAACAGCAACAACAAGCACGGCAACGAGGACAACGACAGAAGGAAGAUAUUUCCAAGAGCAGCGGAUAACCACACCGUUGACGUUGGGAGACGCGUGACUGGCGUGUCUCCGUCUGUCCGGCAGGACGGUCGUCACUCGACUGAUAGGUGAAUGAAUGAAGUUGCUGAGAUUUCUGAGGUUUGCGAGAAAA
Cephus cinctus (wheat stem sawfly) is the source of this 742-nucleotide long non-coding RNA. RefSeq lists it as uncharacterized. The transcript has 4 exons. Lineage: Eukaryota; Metazoa; Arthropoda; Insecta; Hymenoptera; Cephidae. The record is from RefSeq and is a predicted model, not a curated record.